Cucumis melo (muskmelon) is the source of this 355-nucleotide long non-coding RNA. RefSeq lists it as uncharacterized. The record is from RefSeq and is a predicted model, not a curated record. Lineage: Eukaryota; Viridiplantae; Streptophyta; Magnoliopsida; Cucurbitales; Cucurbitaceae. The transcript has 4 exons.
AAAUAGAGGGCCAAGGUAUUUUCUAUAAAAAAUAAUAAUGGUCAUGCUUAGUCUAUGGAGAAACUUAAAACAUUGGAGGUUCAACGAUCCAGGCAUGUGGUGCUUGCUCCUAAAGUGAAACGUCUCCCCAAGAAUCGCCUUCUUUCUGAAGUUUUGCCACAAUCCAUUGGAGCAAUGAAACCAUGGAUACGCCAAUUAGUUGAUGUAUAGCCUUUUUUAUAGGUUUGGUAGGAAAUUUUUUUUGUUUAAAUGUAAUCAUUUAAAAUAGUUUGUUCGUACCAAAAAACAUUUGUACUAACGAUUAAAGCAAUAUUAGUAAGUGUUUAUUUCUAUUAAAACGUUCACCUUUUUUCCA